GCCAACACACCCUCCCUCCCUGGGAAUAAAAGGGAGUCCUUUAGCCUCCUGCAGAGGUUGUGGGGGCUUGCUGUGUGUCAGAGCCUGGUAGCAGUGCUGUGGGCUGGAGUUGUGACAGCUUCCAGUGGAGAUGGGAUGGAUGGAGGAGAGGGUGAGAGGUGCCUCCUCCCAAGGCAGCAGCUGGUGAGAAGGAGCCUGGGCUGCUCAGUGUCAGCACACACGUGGGCCUGGGGAAGCGUGAGCCCAGCUCCAGGCCUUGUCAGUGGCACCUCGUUGACUUUUAGCGCUUCCUUAUCGUGUCCGUGCUCACCUCGCGCCGCGCCGAUAAAAUGCCGCAGCCGGCCGGGGAUCUGUGAGCAGCAAACCCUGCAAAAACCCUGCAGAGCAUGGGAGAAAACCUCAGAGCAUGGGAGCCUGAGCUGCCAGAGACCAGCCAGGGCUCCAGGGCACAGCCAGGUGAGCAGCUUGCAGUGAUACUCUUGGGAGAAUCCUCUUGAUGGUUUGAACUGAGGCUCCCUGAACAUAAAACCCUGAGCUUCUACUGAGCAGGUCUAAUACUCCUGAGACAUGCUUUUGUGGGGA
This is a long non-coding RNA of Zonotrichia leucophrys gambelii, 582 nucleotides long. RefSeq lists it as uncharacterized. Lineage: Eukaryota; Metazoa; Chordata; Aves; Passeriformes; Passerellidae. The transcript has 4 exons. The record is from RefSeq and is a predicted model, not a curated record.